This 84-nucleotide transfer RNA is filed under the name Desulfovibrio litoralis DSM 11393. It matches the Rfam family "tRNA". From Rfam's summary of the family: Transfer RNA (tRNA) molecules are approximately 80 nucleotides in length. Their secondary structure includes four short double-helical elements and three loops (D, anti-codon, and T loops). Further hydrogen bonds mediate the characteristic L-shaped molecular structure. tRNAs have two regions of fundamental functional importance: the anti-codon, which is responsible for specific mRNA codon recognition, and the 3' end, to which the tRNAs corresponding amino acid is attached (by aminoacyl-tRNA synthetases). tRNAs cope with the degeneracy of the genetic code in two manners: having more than one tRNA (with a specific anti-codon) for a particular amino acid; and 'wobble' base-pairing, i.e. permitting non-standard base-pairing at the 3rd anti-codon position. Lineage: Bacteria; Pseudomonadati; Thermodesulfobacteriota; Desulfovibrionia; Desulfovibrionales; Desulfovibrionaceae. The record is from Rfam by way of RNAcentral.
GCCGUGGUGGUGGAAUUGGUAGACACGCUAGCUUGAGGGGCUAGUGUUCGAAAGGACAUAAGGGUUCGAGUCCCUUCCUCGGCA